Molecule: long non-coding RNA, 210 nt
Filed under: Capsicum annuum
Lineage: Eukaryota; Viridiplantae; Streptophyta; Magnoliopsida; Solanales; Solanaceae
Description: long non-coding RNA (CANN_LNC004912)
Source: RNAcentral
AAUCCGAAUUUUGUAACCAUUGUGUUCAUCUUGUUCAUCUUAUAUUGUGGUUGUUUUAGUGUUGAAAACACACCUCUUUAUCUGUUAUUGUGUUGUUGAUAGCGAAUCUGAGAGUGGUCUUAAAAAGGGUCCUCAAAUCCUUAAGAUCAGUGGACUGUUUUGGAGUUGUUUUGUGUUCUCUUGUCUUUCCCGUAUCAGGGAGCCUAAUCC